RNAcentral lists this ribosomal RNA (1519 nucleotides) under human gut metagenome. Its description in RNAcentral is "bacterial LSU rRNA". It matches the Rfam family "Bacterial large subunit ribosomal RNA", at positions 467 to 1983 of the family's 2925-position model. The record is from RNAcentral.
UAAAUACUCCCGAGAGACCGAUAGCGAACCAGUACCGUGAGGGAAAGGUGAAAAGCACUUCGAACAGAAGAGUGAAAUAGUUCCUGAAACCGUGCGCCUACAAGCGGUCGGAGCUCGUUAAUGAGUGACGGCGUGCCUUUUGCAUAAUGAACCUACGAGUUGCCUUUGCCGGCAAGGUUAAGUGUGACGACACACGUAUCCGAAGCGAAAGCGAGUCUGAAUAGGGCGUAUAGUCGGCAGUGGCAGACGCGAAACCAAGUGAUCUACCCUUGGCCAGGUUGAAGGCUGGGUAACACCAGCUGGAGGACCGCACCAAUAAGCGUUGAAAAGCUUCUGGAUGAGCUGAGGGUAGGGGUGAAAGGCUAAUCAAACUUGGAGAUAGCUCGUACUCCCCGAAAUGCAUUUAGGUGCAGCCUUGCGGGUUACUGAUGUGAGGUAGAGCGACUGAUAAGAUGCGAGGGCUUCACCGCCUAUCAAGUCUUGACAAACUCCGAAUGCGCAUCAGUUCUACCGCAGGAGUGAGGGCAUGGGUGCUAAGGUCCGUGCCCGAGAGGAGAAGAAUCCGGACCACCUGCUAAGGUCCCGAAAUGACAGCUAAGUUAAACUAACGAAGUCUGACUGCUAAGACAGCUAGGAUGUUGGCUUGGAAGCAGCCAUUCAUUUAAAGAGUGCGUAACAGCUCACUAGUCGAGGAGUCGGGCGUGGAUAAUAAUCGGGUAUUAAGUUGUCUACCGAAGCAGUGGGAUCAUUAAUAUGAUCGGUAGGGGAGCAUUCCAGUCAGCGUCGAAGGCGUACCGUGAGGUAUUCUGGAGCGUCUGGAAAAGCAAAUGUAGGUAUAAGUAACGAUAAAGGGGGCGGGAAACCCCCUCGCCGAAAGACUAAGGUUUCCUGAUCAACGCUAAUCGGAUCAGGGUCAGUCGGGUCCUAAGGCUCAGCCGAACGGCGAUGCCGAUGGCAGAAACGGUUAAUAUUCCGUUACUACCUUCAGGAGUGACGUGGAGACGCAGUAGUGACAGUGCCGCCAUCUGACGGAAUAGAUGGUUGAAGGGUGUAGGAGUCGAUCAUGGCAGGCAAAUCCACCAUGAGAUCCGAACCUGAUAGUAUGCCGCGUCCUUCGGGACAAGGCAAUAGUGCGCGUAAGCAUGCUGCCGAGAAAAUCCGCUAAACUUAAUCCUGUAGGUACCCGUACCGCAAACGGACACACGUAGUCGGGAUGAAUAUUCUAAGGCGCUUGAGUGAUUCACGGUUAAGGAACUAGGCAAACUGACCCUGUAACUUCGGGAUAAAGGGUCCCUACCCUUUUAUGGGAGGGCGCAGAGAAUCGGUCCAGGCAACUGUUUAACAAAAACACAGGGCUGUGCCAAAUCGAAAGAUCCAGUAUACAGCCUGACACCUGCCCGGUGCUGGAAGGUUAAGAGGAGAUGUCAUCGAUAAGAGAAGCGUUGAAUUGAAGCCCCAGUAAACGGCGGCCGUAACUAUAACGGUCCUAAGGUAGCGAAAUUCCUUGUCGGGUAAGUUC